AAAUUGAAGAGUUUGAUCAUGGCUCAGAUUGAACGCUGGCGGCAGGCCUAACACAUGCAAGUCGAACGGUAACAGGAAGCAGCUUGCUGCUUCGCUGACGAGUGGCGGACGGGUGAGUAAUGUCUGGGAAACUGCCUGAUGGAGGGGGAUAACUACUGGAAACGGUAGCUAAUACCGCAUAAUGUCGCAAGACCAAAGAGGGGGACCUUCGGGCCUCUUGCCAUCGGAUGUGCCCAGAUGGGAUUAGCUUGUUGGUGGGGUAACGGCUCACCAAGGCGACGAUCCCUAGCUGGUCUGAGAGGAUGACCAGCCACACUGGAACUGAGACACGGUCCAGACUCCUACGGGAGGCAGCAGUGGGGAAUAUUGCACAAUGGGCGCAAGCCUGAUGCAGCCAUGCCGCGUGUAUGAAGAAGGCCUUCGGGUUGUAAAGUACUUUCAGCGGGGAGGAAGGGAGUAAAGUUAAUACCUUUGCUCAUUGACGUUACCCGCAGAAGAAGCACCGGCUAACUCCGUGCCAGCAGCCGCGGUAAUACGGAGGGUGCAAGCGUUAAUCGGAAUUACUGGGCGUAAAGCGCACGCAGGCGGUUUGUUAAGUCAGAUG
RNAcentral lists this ribosomal RNA (604 nucleotides) under Escherichia coli. Its description in RNAcentral is "bacterial SSU rRNA". It matches the Rfam family "Bacterial small subunit ribosomal RNA", at positions 1 to 594 of the family's 1533-position model. Lineage: Bacteria; Pseudomonadati; Pseudomonadota; Gammaproteobacteria; Enterobacterales; Enterobacteriaceae. The record is from RNAcentral.